GUGUAUGAACAAAUCACCGAGAAUGCUCCCGAUCUCAUCGGGUUUUGGAAGCUUCGCAGGGUUGAGCCUGGAUAGUGUUUUGAUGGGCGGUCACCGUGCGCGCCAGGUUGUCAUAGGCC
This 119-nucleotide ribosomal RNA is filed under the name Petromyzon marinus (sea lamprey). The record is from RNAcentral. Lineage: Eukaryota; Metazoa; Chordata; Hyperoartia; Petromyzontiformes; Petromyzontidae.